This 504-nucleotide non-coding RNA is filed under the name Cicer arietinum (chickpea). Its description in RNAcentral is "Eukaryotic small subunit ribosomal RNA". It matches the Rfam family "Eukaryotic small subunit ribosomal RNA", at positions 4 to 506 of the family's 1831-position model. The record is from Rfam by way of RNAcentral. Lineage: Eukaryota; Viridiplantae; Streptophyta; Magnoliopsida; Fabales; Fabaceae.
CUGGUUGAUCCUGCCAGUAGUCAUAUGCUUGUCUCAAAGAUUAAGCCAUGCAUGUGUAAGUAUGAACUAAUUCAGACUGUGAAACUGCGAAUGGCUCAUUAAAUCAGUUAUAGUUUGUUUGAUGGCAUCUACAACUCGGGUAACCGUAGUAAUUUUGGAGCUAAUAAGUGCAACAAACCCCGACUUCUGGAAGGGAUGCAUUUAUUAGAUAAAAGGUCGACGCAGGCUCUGCUUGUGGCUUUGAUGAUUCAUGAUAACUCGUCGGAUCACACAACCCUUGUGCUGGCGACGCAUCAUUCAAAUUUCUGCCCUAUCAACUUUCGAUGGUAGGAUAGUGGCCUACCAUGGUGGUGAUGGGUGACGAAGAAUUACGGUUCGAUUUCGAAGAGGGAGCCUGAGAAACAGCUACCACAUCCAAGGAAGGCAGCAGGCGCGCAAAUUACCAAAUCCUAACACAGGGAGGUAGUGACAAUAAAUAAUAAUACCGGGCUCAUUGAGUCUGGU